GAUGAACGCUGGCGGCGUGCCUAAUACAUGCCAGUCGAGCGAACAGACGAGGAGCUUGCUCCUCUGACGUUAGCGGCGGACGGGUGAGUAACACGUGGAUAACCUACCUAUAAGACUGGGAUAACUUUGUGAAACCGGAGCUAAUACCGGAUAAUAUAUUGAACCGCAUGGUUCAAUAGUGAAAGACGGUUUUGCUGUCACUUAUAGAUGGAUCCGCGCCGCAUUAGCUAGUUGGUAAGGUAACGGCUUACCAAGGCGACGAUGCGUAGCCGACCUGAGAGGGUGAUCGGCCACACUGGAACUGAGACACGGUCCAGACUCCUACGGGAGGCAGCAGUAGGGAAUCUUCCGCAAUGGGCGAAAGCCUGACGGAGCAACGCCGCGUGAGUGAUGAAGGUCUUCGGAUCGUAAAACUCUGUUAUUAGGGAAGAACAAAUGUGUAAGUAACUAUGCACGUCUUGACGGUACCUAAUCAGAAAGCCACGGCUAACUACGUG
This 497-nucleotide ribosomal RNA is filed under the name uncultured bacterium. RNAcentral describes it as "partial 16S ribosomal RNA". It matches the Rfam family "Bacterial small subunit ribosomal RNA", at positions 28 to 507 of the family's 1533-position model. The record is from RNAcentral.